This is a long non-coding RNA of Sardina pilchardus (European sardine), 788 nucleotides long. RefSeq lists it as uncharacterized. The transcript has 5 exons. NCBI's taxonomy places the organism in Eukaryota, Metazoa, Chordata, Actinopteri, Clupeiformes, Clupeidae. The record is from RefSeq and is a predicted model, not a curated record.
CUGCUGUCCGACUGCAAGUGUUCCUCCAACUGCACCUAUCUGAAGUAGAGCUGUACCAGUGACCUAGCCUGAUUGCCAUCGACUUGAAAGGCUCUGCGAGACUUCAGUCUGACCAAGAGCCUGUGCUAACACGGUUUCUCCCAGCGCUGGUUGACCCGCCUCAUUUAAGUGCCUCGAUUUGCUACUGGUCGAUGUCAGAAAGCGGUUUGCCGAGUUUAAACCAAUAACAACACUCUUUCCUCUGCCUUGAACAUGCCUCUACCCAGAGCCGUUGGAGCUGCUCAAAGUUGAUUGGUUCUCGACCAAAGGGGGCAGUUCCGCAGAUUUCGGGAAUUCAGAAAUCCUUCCCGAUUAGCAGUUGACCAGACCAGCGACAGCAACGCCGAAGGUGUUACGUCACUGGGAGGGCGUGCCAGGCUACCAGUGACCACAAGUUAAAGAUUUUUGCCCACCGACAUCAAGAAGUAGUCUGAGAUGCACCCAUGAUGGCUGAAUUAAGACGAGGUGGCCAGCAUUUUCAAUGUGCGUGAGCUGUGUGCGGAAUUCAAGGGAUCACUGGAUGGAUGCUCCAUCUGCAAACCUGAUGAAGGCAUUUAGUAUCUAUGACUGAGGAUUCUGGCAUUGAUGUCUGCCACGAAUGUGCUCUCCUCUCAAGGGACUGUGCCUAUAUGAAUGAAGACCCUUAGAGCGUCGUGAAGGAAUACAUGCCAGGGGUUCGUAGUCACACGGUAGAGACCAUAUAUGGCAUCAGAUGGCAUAUUCCCCCCCCCCCCCCCCCCCCCCCGAGG